UUACAUGGAUAGAAGAGUAACGCUGCAUGACUAUUGGCUGCACAUCUGAAGUUCGUGCUGAUUGGCUGAGUAAUACUUUGAUAGAGGGAGCCUGACCACAGAUGUUCCAGAAUUCUCCAGAGAUUGAUCAUUGAGGUUUAUCUCCUGAGCAAUUCUUGAGCAUUACGAGCACUACAGACUCUCCACUGCACAAUAUCCAACGAUCUAUUCAGGGCAAGACCUGCAUUUUUCUCUGCAGCUGAACACCUGGUUUUGGAUUUUCUCCAAGUAGAAGUUCUUCUGAUUGUUCUUGAUUGUUCCAUCAAUCCCAACCCACCCUUCCCCAACCCUCUCCACCCAUACACCCCACACCCCCCACCCACUACCC
Molecule: long non-coding RNA, 367 nt
Organism: Carassius carassius (crucian carp)
Lineage: Eukaryota; Metazoa; Chordata; Actinopteri; Cypriniformes; Cyprinidae
Exons: 5
Source: RefSeq, a predicted model, not a curated record